AACGAACGCUGGCGGCAGGCCUAACACAUGCAAGUCGAACGAAGUCUUCGGACUUAGUGGCGCACGGGUGAGUAACACGUGGGAAUAUACCUUACGCUGGGGGAUAACAUCGGGAAACUGAUGCUAAUACCGCAUACGCCCUUCGGGGGAAAGAUUUAUCGGCGAAAGAUUAGCCCGCGUCCGAUUAGCUAGUUGGUGAGGUAACGGCUCACCAAGGCUCCGAUCGGUAGCUGGUCUGAGAGGAUGAUCAGCCACACUGGGACUGAGACACGGCCCAGACUCCUACGGGAGGCAGCAGUGGGGAAUAUUGGACAAUGGGCGCAAGCCUGAUCCAGCCAUGCCGCGUGAGUGAUGAAGGCCUUAGGGUUGUAAAGCUCUUUCGACGGGGACGAUGAUGACGGUACCCGUAGAAGAAGCCCCGGCUAACUUCGUGCCAGCCGCCGCAGUAA
This 449-nucleotide ribosomal RNA is filed under the name uncultured bacterium. RNAcentral describes it as "partial 16S ribosomal RNA". It matches the Rfam family "Bacterial small subunit ribosomal RNA", at positions 29 to 523 of the family's 1533-position model. The record is from RNAcentral.